AUCAGUUUCCCGGAACGAAAAAUCUACUCAACAGCAGAAUAAAUAAGCGAUCGGACUAGAUGACGAUUUUUUUAAAAGAGUGCAAAAGGGAAUAAUCUACUGCUAGAUUUAUUUGCACUGUUUCUUUGCGUUUUUCGUUUCUGCUGUCGCUUUGAUUUUUUCGUCACUUUGAGACAUAAUGAUGUAAAGUCACAUUUGCCCAGUAAUUUCGCUAGCCACGACCCUUCAGACAGAAACACAAUAAUGUUUACACAUUACUGCUUCACGUCAGAAAUAGGCGCCGUUGUGGUACCCAUAAUCUAGCCGGCAUCCUGUGUAAGGGAGCUUCCCACUGAUGAAUAAAUGAUCUAAGAAUUUAAAGAUCACAUGACCCUAAAUCAUGGGAAAUGCCAUAGGUCCUACAUGUGCGGGUAAGUCUAUAUAAGAAUCAAGAGCGAACAGCACCGAUUGAAAGCUAAAGGCAACAGACAUUCAACCCCAUUCAUUACCUAAUAUAUAAAAUUCUCGUAUCCCGGUGUUUGUUACCAAACUCCGAAACGGCUGAACCGAUCUAUUAGGUCUGAGAAUCGGCCAACAUUUAUUUUUCAUACCCCUGAAUGAUAAGGGUGUCCCACCCUAAUUAUAUUAUUUUUAUUUUAUUUGACAAUUUUUUUUUAUUUCUAUUUUAUUAUGAUUCAGCAUCACAUCAUAUUAGCAUUCAGAACAAUGUCUGUCGGGGUUAGCUAGUGCACAUAAUAUAAAGCAAACAGAUGGCAUAGAAAAUUUAAUUACUCAGCAACCACAAUAAAUAAAGACCCCGCAUAUAUCCUUGGAACGGUUUGAUGAGAAAAGCUUAAAAUAUAAAAAUUUAAUUUGGGAUUAAUAUCUAUUCGGGGUCAAAUAUUUCCCAAGGAGUUGCAUUGGAAAUUAGGUUUCAAUCGAGGGAGGAGCGGGUCGUCACUAGUAUUUAAUAAAUCAUUGUAUUUGGUGGAUGCGGUUACUAUUAUGACAGUAAUCACGACCAUCAUGUUCAUGAAGCAUCAUCACACAAACAAUCGAAUCAAGCUCUCAAGGUUGAUGCAUCGAAUAUACAAUUAUUUAUAUUUUUUACAACUUACUUUUUGAAGUGAAGUUCUUUUUAACCGUUGUGAUUUGAAACUCGAUGAAACGAAAAAGCGAGACGAUAGAGAAACAAACAGGUAAAUAGGAUUCAGCCGGCGAGAAAAUGAGACAAACACAUAAAUUCGUAAGAUUUAACGCAGGACCGCGUGCAACAUAGAGCAGCUCGAAAUGUGGGGGACCCAGUGCUCUGUGAACGGCUGGAUCACUUGGCGUUGCGUAGAGAAGUCGCUUCAUUGUGUGUCUUCUACCGCAUUUAUCACGGGGAGUGUUCCGAAGAGCUGUUUAACCUGAUUCCUGCCGCCGAAUUCCACCUUCGCACGACACGCCACAAGUUAGAAUAUCAUCCUCACCAUCUGGAUGUGUGGCGGUCCUCCACAGUGCGGUUUUCAAGGAGCUUUCUUCCACAUACUACGAAGCUGUGGAAUGAGCUUCCUUGUGCGGUGUUUCAGGGACGAUACGACAUGAGUACCUUCAAAAAAAGCGCGUACACCUUCCUUAAAGGCCGGCAACGCUCCUGUGAUUCCUCUGGUGUUGCAAGAGAUUGUGGGCGGCGGUGAUCACUUAACAACAGGUGACCCGUACGCUCGUUUGUCCUCCUAUUCCAUAAAAAAAAGGAUAAAACGAGAUGGGAACCUGGCGAUCACAGUUGAAGAAGAGUACGUAUUACUACAUAGACACCAGGGGAACACAAAUAUGGUAGCGGUGAUAGUAAUGUCUUUCAUAGCGGUUGAAAUCAUGUGUCGUCCUAGCAACAUAUACCAGGACCUCAUAUGUAGUUUAGAGGUUCAUGCGCAAUGGACAUCUUAAAAUUAUUGUUUUUCAAGUGCUGACCCGUUGAUGGUGUUUGUGAUUCUCUUUGUGGUCUGCUUCGUACCCCCUCCACUCGUAUUUACCAAGGCAAAAUCCCACAGUUUGCUCAGCGUUGUACGUGUGUUAAUAGGUGUUUGUGCGCGCAUGCGUAGUACAAAGCUUGAGAAAAGGCAUCACAACAACCGUGGAGUAUUGUAUAUGUUAAAGGACGAGACGAGCAGGACGUUCAGCUAAUAGUAAUUGAUACACCCUGCCAAUUACAACGCAGUGCCGCUCGGGAUUCAUUGAAAAACCCAAAAAUUCCGAGCAGCACUACUGUUGCGCUCGUGAGCUUGAGACAUAAUAUGAAAGUAUCCCUUAUUGGGUCUUUUAAGGGCCCAUGAUAAGAAGGCAUAUACCUUACCGGAGGGAGAGAACAGAGAGCAUGCUGAAGAUGGGCCGGAAGUGAGAAAGAAGCCUAGACUCAGUGCUAACAAAACGAACGCUACAACCCAAUUGUUUACUUGCAUUACCUGUGGAAGAUCUUUCGCGUCGAAGGCCGGAAGACGUCGCCAUGACGAUCGCUUCUGUGGUCGCCAUUGAAGGACUUUACUGCCCCAACGGCCAGCUGUCCGUCGAGCUAUGUGCCCUGCCCACUGCCACUUCAGUUUCACAACCAUACCAAUGUUAAUACCUACAAUUUUUUUUUUGUUGCCAUUAAAAAUAUGUUAUGUGAGCUAAAAGGGGUAACCCCAAAAAAGUAAAACCUUUCUGCACCUUUCGCUCUACAUUUGUAGCCGCUGGGUUUUUGAAACACUGUGUGGCCAAUAUGAUAUUUUUAUUAAAUAUUUGAAUAACGACUUCUGAGAAAAGUCAUUUAAGCCAAAUCUGUUGUAGUUUACGUAUAAUUAUUAGACCACAGAUAAAAGAUAAAACUAAGGAGAUGAAUAUUUCCAAUCUAGCUAUACUUAUGUGUAUGUAGGAACCGACUAGAAUCUUUACUGUGUAUAUCACGUUUUGUAAUUUUCUAGAUCUGUAUUUGCGCCUAUUGCAAUAAUACUUUAGCGUGCUAAAAUCAAUAUAAUCUGCCAUUUGAACUGUCAAAACAAAAUGUUGUAAUAUAAUUUUCAAUGUGUCUUUCUGACGUAGACAGAAGAUGGACACUAGAUUCGCUGUCAGCGUAUGUAAAUGAGAUAGCAAUAGUCUGUGACGUGUGUUAUGUUUUCAGGUUUUUGUUCUGGAUGAUUUGUAUAACGUAAUAGACAACAACGUCCCAUGGUUUUAUACUUAAACUGAAUUCACACCAAAUCACUCAAUUACGUAUUAAAAAUUAGAAUUUAUUUAAAUUAAAUAGUACUGCACCAUCUCAACCAUUGUUAAAGGUGGAAGGCAAGAGGGCACACGGUCGAUCGCCAACCCGCUGGAUAGACGCCAUCACAAAGGCUACUGAGUCCACUAAUGAAGCUUCCCUUGAGGAGAUAUAAAUCAUUAAGAGAAGAGAUAGAUCGAAAGUAACAACACAUUUAGAUUCAGAUAGAUCUAAUCUAGCCUUAAUUAUCUAGGCUAAUUAGAAGUUUCUGUUGUAAGUAAUUAAAAAGUACUCCACUAGGUGAAGGUUGACUUAAAAAAACUAAUUCGCUGAAAAUACGACGGAACACAUUAUGAUUUAUGUGUAUGUGAUGAAGCAAAUCUAGAGCUAAUUAUUCAUUGCAUUCACAUUAGCCCAGCGACGGGGGUACCUCUAGAUAGAGAUAGACACACUGAACAAAACUAAAAAGCAUUGCUUCCGUAAAAAAAAACGUCGCGUCAAAAAACACGAAUCGUCCUCGUGUGAAUGGGCUCUUAGGUUUUAUCGAUUUCCAUCCUUUAAAUUCCAGUAUAAAUAACUUAAAAGUGGACAAUAAACACUUUUAUACCCUAAAACAAGAUAUUUACUUUAUGUUACCUCGUUUUAAGUUAAAGAAAAAAGUAGGUACGUAUGUUAUGUUUGAAGUCUUGUGUUAAAAGUUUUUUCUUAUUGUAAGUACAUAUUGCAUUAUGUGUAGGAGAGAGAAAUAAAAUAAGACAUGUCUAUUAAAAAGUAUAUAUGUUAUGAAAUAAUGAUUUAUAAACAUGUGAUAUGAAUUAAUAAUGGAUUUGCAAUUUGUAAUAAAGAUUUAAAAUAUUGA
Long non-coding RNA from Leptidea sinapis, 4058 nucleotides. RefSeq lists it as uncharacterized. The record is from RefSeq and is a predicted model, not a curated record. Lineage: Eukaryota; Metazoa; Arthropoda; Insecta; Lepidoptera; Pieridae. The transcript has 5 exons.